This 674-nucleotide ribosomal RNA is filed under the name Paenibacillus polymyxa. RNAcentral describes it as "partial 23S ribosomal RNA". It matches the Rfam family "Bacterial large subunit ribosomal RNA", at positions 2246 to 2925 of the family's 2925-position model. Lineage: Bacteria; Bacillati; Bacillota; Bacilli; Caryophanales; Paenibacillaceae. RNAcentral also lists the same sequence under 1 other name. The record is from RNAcentral.
CGAGGACAGUGUCAGGUGGGCAGUUUGACUGGGGCGGUCGCCUCCUAAAGAGUAACGGAGGCGCCCCAAGGUUCCCUCAGAAUGGUUGGAAAUCAUUCGAAGAGUGCAAAGGCAGAAGGGAGCUUGACUGCGAGACCUACAAGUCGAGCAGGGACGAAAGUCGGGCUUAGUGAUCCGGUGGUACCGCAUGGAAGGGCCAUCGCUCAACGGAUAAAAGCUACCCUGGGGAUAACAGGCUUAUCUCCCCCAAGAGUCCACAUCGACGGGGAGGUUUGGCACCUCGAUGUCGGCUCAUCGCAUCCUGGGGCUGAAGUAGGUCCCAAGGGUUGGGCUGUUCGCCCAUUAAAGCGGUACGCGAGCUGGGUUCAGAACGUCGUGAGACAGUUCGGUCCCUAUCUGUCGUGGGCGUAGGAAAUUUGAGAGGAGCUGUCCUUAGUACGAGAGGACCGGGAUGGACGUACCGCUGGUGUACCAGUUGUUCCGCCAGGAGCACCGCUGGGUAGCUAUGUACGGAAGGGAUAAGCGCUGAAAGCAUCUAAGCGUGAAGCCCCCCUCAAGAUGAGAUUUCCCAGUAUGUAAGACCCCUUGAAGACGACGAGGUAGAUAGGUUGGGGGUGGAAGUGCAGUAAUGCAUGGAGCUGACCAAUACUAAUCGGUCGAGGGCUUAUCCUAAA